GGCAGCAGUGGGGAAUUUUGGACAAUGGGGGCAACCCUGAUCCAGCCAUUCCGCGUGAGUGAAGAAGGCCUUCGGGUUGUAAAGCUCUUUCGCAAGAGAAGAAAUCUUACUAUCGAAUAAAUAGUAAGGAUGACGGUAUCUUGACAAGAAGCACCGGCUAACUACGUGCCAGCAGCCGCGGUAAUACGUAGGGUGCGAGCGUUAAUCGGAAUUACUGGGCGUAAAGCGUGCGCAGGCGGUUUUAUAAGUCAGAUGUGAAAUCCCCGAGCUCAACUUGGGAACUGCGUUUGAAACUGUAAGACUAGAGUGUGUCAGAGGGGGGUAGAAUUCCACGUGUAGCAGUGAAAUGCGUAGAUAUGUGGAGGAAUACCAAUGGCGAAGGCAGCCCCCUGGGAUAACACUGACGCUCAUGCACGAAAGCGUGGGGAGCAAACAGGAUUAGAUACCCUGGUAGUCCACGCCCUAAACGAUGUCUACUAGUUGUUGGUGGAGUAAAAUCCAUGAGUAACGCAGCUAACGCGUGAAGUAGACCGCCUGGGGAGUACGGUCGCAAGAUUAAAACUCAAAGGAAUUGACGG
This 578-nucleotide ribosomal RNA is filed under the name uncultured beta proteobacterium. Its description in RNAcentral is "bacterial SSU rRNA". It matches the Rfam family "Bacterial small subunit ribosomal RNA", at positions 347 to 916 of the family's 1533-position model. The record is from RNAcentral. Lineage: Bacteria; Pseudomonadati; Pseudomonadota; Betaproteobacteria.